UACGAAGGGGGCGAGCGUUGUUCGGAAUUACUGGGCGUAAAGGGCGCGUAGGCGGCCCCUUUUGUCGCGUGUGAAAGCCCCGGGCUCAACCUGGGAACGGCGCGCGAAACGGGGGGGCUUGAGUUCGGGAGAGGAGCGUGGAAUUCCCAGUGUAGAGGUGAAAUACGUAGAGAUUGGGAAGAACACCAGUGGCGAAGGCGGCUAUCUGGACGGUUUCUGACGCUAAGACGCGAAAGCGUGGGGAGCGAACAGG
This 253-nucleotide ribosomal RNA is filed under the name uncultured bacterium. RNAcentral's name for it is "partial 16S ribosomal RNA". It matches the Rfam family "Bacterial small subunit ribosomal RNA", at positions 524 to 776 of the family's 1533-position model. The record is from RNAcentral.